RNAcentral lists this ribosomal RNA (242 nucleotides) under uncultured bacterium. RNAcentral's name for it is "partial 16S ribosomal RNA". It matches the Rfam family "Bacterial small subunit ribosomal RNA", at positions 113 to 354 of the family's 1533-position model. The record is from RNAcentral.
CGACGUGAGGGAACCUGCCUUCCAGAGGGGGACAACAGUUGGAAACGACUGCUAAUACCGCAUGACACAUGACCGUGGCAUCACGGACAUGUCAAAGAUUUAUCGCUGGAAGAUGGCCUCGCGUCUGAUUAGCUGGUAGGCGGGGUAACGGCCCACCUAGGCGACGAUCAGUAGCCGGACUGAGAGGUUGACCGGCCACAUUGGGACUGAGAUACGGCCCAGACUCCUACGGGAGGCAGCAG